Molecule: ribosomal RNA, 404 nt
Filed under: uncultured bacterium
Lineage: Bacteria
Also listed under: 2 other names
Description: bacterial SSU rRNA
Rfam family: Bacterial small subunit ribosomal RNA
Source: RNAcentral
UGGGGGAUAUUGGACAAUGGGGGCAACCCUGAUCCAGCGACGCCGCGUGAGGGAAGAAGGUUUUCGGAUUGUAAACCUCUGUUGACGGAGAAAAAAAUGAUGGUAUCCGUUUAGAAAGCCACGGCUAACUACGUGCCAGCAGCCGCGGUAAUACGUAGGUGGCAAGCGUUGUCCGGAAUUACUGGGUGUAAAGGGAGUGUAGGCGGGAUUUUAAGUCAGAAGUGAAAAUUACGGGCUCAACUCGUAACCUGCUUUUGAAACUGAAAUUCUUGAGUGAAGUAGAGGCAAGCGGAAUUCCUAGUGUAGCGGUGAAAUGCGUAGAUAUUAGGAGGAACACCAGUGGCGAAGGCGGCUUGCUGGGCUUUUACUGACGCUGAGGCUCGAAAGCGUGGGGAGCAAACAGG